AACGAACGCUGGCGGCAGGCCUAACACAUGCAAGUCGAGCGAUCCCUUCGGGGAUAGCGGCGGACGGGUUAGUAACGCGUGGGAAUAUGCCCAAAAGGUAGGGAAUAGCCUCUGGAAAACGGAGAUUAAUACCCUAGUGUGCCCUUGGGGGAAAGAAUUUAUCGCCUUUGGAUUAGCCCGCGUUGGAUUAGGUAAGUUGGUGGGGUAAUGGCCUACCAAGCCUACGAUCCAUAGCUGGUUUGAG
This 244-nucleotide ribosomal RNA is filed under the name uncultured Alphaproteobacteria bacterium. RNAcentral describes it as "partial 16S ribosomal RNA". It matches the Rfam family "Bacterial small subunit ribosomal RNA", at positions 29 to 296 of the family's 1533-position model. The record is from RNAcentral. Lineage: Bacteria; Pseudomonadati; Pseudomonadota; Alphaproteobacteria.